RNAcentral lists this unclassified non-coding RNA (729 nucleotides) under Hevea brasiliensis (rubber tree). Lineage: Eukaryota; Viridiplantae; Streptophyta; Magnoliopsida; Malpighiales; Euphorbiaceae. The record is from RNAcentral.
UUUUUUUUCUUUAUCAUUCGAAGGGCUCAGUCCCACACUCUGACUUCAAUGAUGGGAACAACCUCCGCACUCCGGCGCUCCAAUGAACAACAGUUCUCCGCCUUACUAUAUUUAGAAUAGUGGUCGACCCCUCGGGAGUUACAUUCGUAACUUAAUGUUAUGUUUACGCGGUGAUAUUCUAUCUUUCCAAGAUUACCACCCUGUACGUAGUCUAUGUCUGGGGAGCAUACUUGACAGGAGAUAGACACGGGCGGUAGAGAGGUCCCCCAGCCCCGUUAGCAUCUCCGAUCCGAGAUAAGGGAUUACUCCGUUAGGUCUUUUCGGUCCGGAGCCGGCCGGUAAUUGACCUACUUACCUUGCUUAUGGACCAGCUGCAGAGCUAAGCCUUGUUCUAUUGGUUUGAUGGUUGCUACCAAGACGAUUUCUUUAUGCCCAUCAAAGAACCUCGAGAUGCUAAUCCACGAAAAACGAUACGAGAAAUUCGAAAGAACUCAUAUACGGAACGAGGGCGACCCGUGAAAAUACAUCGGUUUCUUACUCGUGCAAAGGAACUCUUUUUUGGCAACUUGGACAACUUAUAACGAUGUUUGUCCCGCAUAUCACUAGGAGGAUCUUUACAAAAGGCUUUAUAAAGCUUUCGUCUUAGCCGCGAGCAAUCUACGUUUGUGAUCUCGUAUAUUUCGCUUCUCCGACAUCUUACUGACUUUCCCCCUCAUCUUUUUGAAAAAA